Anas platyrhynchos (mallard) is the source of this 2079-nucleotide long non-coding RNA. RefSeq lists it as uncharacterized. Lineage: Eukaryota; Metazoa; Chordata; Aves; Anseriformes; Anatidae. The record is from RefSeq and is a predicted model, not a curated record.
ACCUGACUUCAAAACAGAGCAAGCAGACUUGAUCUCACCAUGCCUUGGCUGUCCUGGGGAUCGAAAUUGCACUGAGCCCAGAAUAAAUGUGCAUGGAAAUUGCACAUUUUAAACUGAUGGCUGCACAAGAUCAGAAACCGUGGCAAUGCUGACACUUUUGGCCUGGAACUUGGCAGGGCUGUGAAAGAAUGUGGAGCUGUUGUUGCAAACAGCUCAUUUUGUGACUUGAAAGGGAAGGGCUUGUAGUUUCCGACGUACCACUUCUGCAGAUCAGUGACAAGGAGGAGACUUUGGUAUCAGUCCACUAGCAUAUCUCUUGCAAGCUGAGAGAAGUGAAUAUAAAGCACUGUAAUCGUUUUCACAGCCUCCAGGAUUCAUAAGACACCAUAAGAAGAAGUUUCUCAAGCUUAAAAUGUUCUAUAAGAUACUAAAUCUUACGUCUCCUGGAGGCCACUGGGGAAAUGAAAAGGCUUUGGUUUCUAUGAAGAAGAAAGAGACUAUCUAAGAUAGGACCUCUGAAGAAGGAGCAAAACCCAGGGAGGACAUGCUAAUGCUAAACAAAGCUGGGAGGAGAAUAUCCAUCAUUUCCAGAUGUGGACAUAUGAUCCAGGAGGCAAUUGAAGGUUACCAGAAAACGUUGUAAUGUUGAUACUACUUGGGAAGGCUUUGACUGUCCAGCAUCCGUACUGACAGCAUUAAUUAAAGAAAUUCUGAGCCAGUAAAACAGGACAGGUGGCAGCGAUACAAACGGGAUGUCAUCCAGUAGCAGCUUGUGCGGACCAAAUCAUGGACCCCUCCCAGAGGCUUGGGGCAAGAAGAGGCUUUCAAACCUUCUCCAUGGAUCUGAAAGGCCUGCUUAGUAGCAGCCUGAAUGAAACCCCUUCUUCAAGCAGCCAGUGUUAGCUGCAGAGGAGUGGAACUGCGCUCUUGGCCCAUUCAGGGGCAGACUGUGAUUUUAUUCAGUCAAUAACCCCACAAAAUUAAAGGGUAAUGUUUAUGCCACGUCCUGAUUACUGAUACCAUUCAUAUCAAGUAUUAUUUUAACUUCAUUAAAUUAAAAAACAUAAAGUAAUUUUAUUCUAAAAGUGAUCUGAAAAAUAAAUACAUUUUUCUCAGUAACUCCAGUGUAGCCAAAAUGGACUAAUAGUUAAGGAAAACAGCUAUGCAAAGUUUUUUUUUUUUUUUUGUGUCAUCUUUUCACAUUUGUGUGAAGGUCUUAGUUUUAGUUUUAUUUCUGUUGGGUCAGCCAUCUGUGCAUUUUAUUGCCUGUUCUGUGGAACUUUGCAAUGUCUUAGUGAAGAGCAGUAGGUAAGCACUGAGGACAAAAAUGAGUAGAUAUAAAUGCCAGAGAAGAGAAGAGAAGAGAAGAGAAGAGAAGAGAAGAGAAGAGAAGAGAAGAGAAGAGAAGAGAAGAGAAGAGAAGAGAAGAGAAGAGAAGAGAAGAGAAGAGAAGAGAAGAGAAGAGAAGAGAAGAGAAGAGAAGAGAAGAGAAGAGAAGAGAAGAGAAGAGAAGAGAAGAGACACAAGAAGUAAUUUCUCCAUUUCUUUUUCCUGAUAUUGAGCUGAACUGAGGAAAUUGCUUUAAGUACAUAAAGUGAUACAAUUACUACAGUUGGGUCUUUGUUUAAUUUUCAAAUAGACAGUUUAGUACACUGAAUUCAGAGGUUAUUAGUUAUGGACUUUCCAGCCCUUCUCCUCGAGGUCAUUAAGUUCAAUAUUAUCCCAGGUUGGAUUUCUGAAUAUCCAUUGUGAACAAUUUAUCUAAUAAAUUCAUACCUUCUAAUAAAUUCAUACUUUUUUUUUUUUCUCCUUGUGACUUACCUAUUGACAAAUUGAAAUUUUUACAAAUAUGAUCACCAUUCAAAAGUACUUGGCAUGUGUUUUGUGUGGUCUGACUUCAGCUUGUGGACUAAUGACAGACUAUCCACCAUGACUGUUGCUUUAAGUAUUUCCUAUUCAUGAUGCCUGAUUAAGAUGCAUAGCUACAUUUCUGUCUUUAUUGGAUGACACCCAUAUUGCAAAGAGCUUUCAACUGACCUCCUAAACCUUUUGGUGAAAAUAUAUAUGCAUGAGCAUCCA